CGCCAAUACAUAACUCGCGCGGAAGACUGGGUUGAGUGGACUCUGGAGAUUCUGAAGAUUUGAUUCGAAGCCAACUGUAAGUUCAACAACAUAGAGUGUUCCAGUUGAGGUUGAAAGAAGCAAAUCUGGACGGUAGGUGUCACCGGUGAUGAUUGAUGGACUUUUGUACCCUGGAAGAUCCACGUAAAGAUGUGAGCCGCUUACGGUCUGCAGGUUUGUUGCGAGAAAGUUUAGAACAGAGUCAUGUCUCCACGUGAAUCGUUCUAGUUAAGAUUGGCAACCAGCUACUACGUGCAGAAGUGUAUCAGGAGCUAGACAUCGCGAACAGUCUGAAGUCGGUGAUAAACCCCAUCUUGCAAGGUUUUGGCGCGUUGGAAG
This is a non-coding RNA of Paramuricea clavata, 378 nucleotides long. The record is from the annotation of a GenBank genome assembly. Lineage: Eukaryota; Metazoa; Cnidaria; Anthozoa; Malacalcyonacea; Plexauridae.